UACGGGGGGAGCAAGCGUUGUUCGGAUUUACUGGGCGUAAAGGGCGCGUAGGCGGCCAGCGCAAGUCAGUUGUGAAAUCUCCGAGCUUAACUCGGAAAGGUCGACUGAUACUGCGCGGCUAGAGUGCGGAAGGGGCAACUGGAAUUCUCGGUGUAGCGGUGAAAUGCGUAGAUAUCGAGAGGAACACCUGCGGCGAAGGCGGCCCCCUGGUUGGAUACUGACGCUGAGACGCGAAAGCGUGGGGAGCAAACAGG
RNAcentral lists this ribosomal RNA (254 nucleotides) under uncultured bacterium. Its description in RNAcentral is "partial 16S ribosomal RNA". It matches the Rfam family "Bacterial small subunit ribosomal RNA", at positions 524 to 776 of the family's 1533-position model. The record is from RNAcentral.